GAGGGAAACCGAGUCUUAAUUGGGCGUUAAGUUGCAGGGUAUAGACCCGAAACCCGGUGAUCUAGCCAUGGGCAGGUUGAAGGUUGGGUAACACUAACUGGAGGACCGAACCGACUAAUGUUGAAAAAUUAGCGGAUGACCUGUGGCUGGGGGUGAAAGGCCAAUCAAACCGGGAGAUAGCUGGUUCUCCCCGAAAGCUAUUUAGGUAGCGCCUCGUGAAUUCAUCUCCGGGGGUAGAGCACUGUUUCGGCUAGGGGGCCAUCCCGGCUUACCAACCCGAUGCAAACUGCGAAUACCGGAGAAUGUUAUCACGGGAGACACACGGCGGGUGCUAACGUCCGUCGUGAAGAGGGAAACAACCCAGACCGCCAGCUAAGGUCCCAAAGUCAUGGUUAAGUGGGAAACGAUGUGGGAAGGCCCAGACAGCCAGGAUGUUGGCUUAGAAGCAGCCAUCAUUUAAAGAAAGCGUAAUAGCUCACUGGUCGAGUCGGCCUGCGCGGAAGAUGUAACGGGGCUAAACCAUGCACCGAAGCUGCGGCAGCGACGCUGAUGCGUUGUUGGGUAGGGGAGCGUUCUGUAAGCCUGCGAAGGUGUGUCGUGAGGCAUGCUGGAGGUAUCAGAAGUGCGAAUGCUGACAUAAGUAACGAUAAAGCGGGUGAAAAGCCCGCUCGCCGGAAGACCAAGGGUUCCUGUCCAACGUUAAUCGGGGCAGGGUGAGUCGACCCCUAAGGCGAGGCCGAAAGGCGUAGUCGAUGGGAAACGGGUUAAUAUUCCCGUACUUGGUGUUACUGCGAAGGGGGGACGGAGAAGGCUAUGUUGGCCGGGCGACGGUUGUCCCGGUUUAAGCGUGUAGGUGUGUGUUCCAGGUAAAUCCGGUUCACUUUAACACUGAGGCGUGAUGACGAGGCACUACGGUGCUGAAGCAACAAAUGCCCUGCUUCCAGGAAAAGCCUCUAAGCAUCAGGUAACAUCAAAUCGUACCCCAAACCGACACAGGUGGUCAGGUAGAGAAUACCAAGGCGCUUGAGAGAACUCGGGUGAAGGAACUAGGCAAAAUGGUGCCGUAACUUCGGGAGAAGGCACGCUGACACGUAGGUGAAGUGAUUUACUCAUGGAGCUGAAGUCAGUCGAAGAUACCAGCUGGCUGCAACUGUUUAUUAAAAACACAGCACUGUGCAAACACGAAAGUGGACGUAUACGGUGUGACGCCUGCCCGGUGCCGGAAGGUUAAUUGAUGGGGUCAGCGCAAGCGAAGCUCCUGAUCGAAGCCCCGGUAAACGGCGGCCGUAACUAUAACGGUCCUAAGGUAGCGAAAUUCCUUGUCGGGUAAGUUCCGACCUGCACGAAUGGCGUAAUGAUGGCCAGGCUGUCUCCACCCGAGACUCAGUGAAAUUGAACUCGCUGUGAAGAUGCAGUGUACCCGCGGCAAGACGGAAAGACCCCGUGAACCUUUACUAUAGCUUGACACUGAACAUUGAGCCUUGAUGUGUAGGAUAGGUGGGAGGCUUUGAAGUGUGGACGCCAGUCUGCAUGGAGCCGGCCUUGAAAUACCACCCUUUAAUGUUUGAUGUUCUAACGUGGACCCGUGAUCCGGGUUGCGGACAGUGUCUGGUGGGUAGUUUGACUGGGGCGGUCUCCUCCUAAAGAGUAACGGAGGAGCACGAAGGUUGGCUAAUCCUGGUCGGACAUCAGGAGGUUAGUGCAAUGGCAUAAGCCAGCUUGACUGCGAGCGUGACGGCGCGAGCAGGUGCGAAAGCAGGUCAUAGUGAUCCGGUGGUUCUGAAUGGAAGGGCCAUCGCUCAACGGAUAAAAGGUACUCCGGGGAUAACAGGCUGAUACCGCCCAAGAGUUCAUAUCGACGGCGGUGUUUGGCACCUCGAUGUCGGCUCAUCACAUCCUGGGGCUGAAGUAGGUCCCAAGGGUAUGGCUGUUCGCCAUUUAAAGUGGUACGCGAGCUGGGUUUAGAACGUCGUGAGACAGUUCGGUCCCUAUCUGCCGUGGGCGCUGGAGAACUGAGGGGGGCUGCUCCUAGUACGAGAGGACCGGAGUGGACGCAUCACUGGUGUUCGGGUUGUCAUGCCAAUGGCACUGCCCGGUAGCUAAAUGCGGAAGAGAUAAGUGCUGAAAGCAUCUAAGCACGAAACUUGCCCCGAGAUGAGUUCUCCCUGAGACUUAGAGUCUCCUGAAGGAACGUUGAAGACGACGACGUUGAUAGGCCGGGUGUGUAAGCGCAGCGAUGCGUUGAGCUAACCGGUACUAAUGAACCGUGAGGCUUAACCUUACAACGCCGAA
This 2292-nucleotide ribosomal RNA is filed under the name Salmonella enterica. Its description in RNAcentral is "partial 23S ribosomal RNA". It matches the Rfam family "Bacterial large subunit ribosomal RNA", at positions 668 to 2925 of the family's 2925-position model. Lineage: Bacteria; Pseudomonadati; Pseudomonadota; Gammaproteobacteria; Enterobacterales; Enterobacteriaceae. The record is from RNAcentral.